RNAcentral lists this ribosomal RNA (253 nucleotides) under uncultured bacterium. RNAcentral's name for it is "partial 16S ribosomal RNA". It matches the Rfam family "Bacterial small subunit ribosomal RNA", at positions 524 to 776 of the family's 1533-position model. The record is from RNAcentral.
UACGUAGGGUGCGAGCGUUGUCCGGAAUUAUUGGGCGUAAAGAGCUUGUAGGCGGUCUGUCGCGUCUGCUGUGAAAACCCGCGGCUCAACCGCGGGCCUGCAGCCGAUACGGGCAGGCUAGAGUUCGGUAGGGGAGACUGGAAUUCCUGGUGUAGCGGUGAGAUGCGCAGAUAUCAGGAGGAACACCGGUGGCGAAGGCGGGUCUCUGGGCCGAUACUGACGCUGAGGAGCGAAAGCGUGGGGAGCGAACAGG